UACGAGGGGUGCAAGCGUUAUUCGGAAUUAUUGGGCGUAAAGGGUGCGUAGGCUGCGUACUAAGUCAACUGUUAAAUUCCUCGGCCUAACCGAGGCCAUGCGGUAGAUACUGGUAUGCUAGAGGGUGGAAGAGAGAAGUGGAAUUCUCGGAGUAGCGGUAAAAUGCGUAGAUCUCGAGAGGAACACCAAUGGCGAAGGCAGCUUCUUGGUCCACACCUGACGCUGAGGCACGAAAGCGUGGGGAGCAAAC
This 250-nucleotide ribosomal RNA is filed under the name uncultured bacterium. RNAcentral's name for it is "partial 16S ribosomal RNA". It matches the Rfam family "Bacterial small subunit ribosomal RNA", at positions 524 to 773 of the family's 1533-position model. The record is from RNAcentral.